UAUGUGAUCGUCUCUCGCAUAUCAAUAAGCGGAGGAAAAGAAACUAACAAGGAUUCCCCUAGUAACGGCGAGUGAAGCGGGAAGAGCUCAAAUUUGAAAUCUUAAAGGGUUUCCCUUUACGAAUUGUAGUUUAAAGAAGUGUUUUCUGUUGAGGUUUUGGUAAAAGUUCUCUGGAAUAGGACAUCAUAGAGGGUGAGAAUCCCGUAUUUGACCUUUACUUUCAACUUUGUGAUACACUUUCAAAGAGUCGGAUUGUUUGGGAAUGCAGUCCAAAAUGGGUGGUAAAUUUCAUCUAAAGCUAAAUAUUGGCGAGAGACCGAUAGCGAACAAGUACCGUGAGGGAAAGAUGAAAAGAACUUUGAAAAGAGAGUUAAACAGUACGUGAAAUUGUCAAAAGGGAAGCGUUUGACACCAGUGUUGUUUUUCUGAAAAUCAAUUAAAGAACUGCUUAUGCUAAGUUGUUUAGACUUUAUCAGCUAACUGUUUAGUUUUGAGCUUUUCUUUAAUGCACUUUUCAGUUAACAAGUCAACAUCAAUUUCUUUUGCUGUAAAAAAGCUUGAGGGAAGGUGGCUUGAGAUUCGUCUUAAGUGUUUAUAGCCUCUUGCCUAUGCAGUCGGAGAGAUUGAGGUCUGCAGCGUAGAUCCUUCGGGGCUAAAUGCAUUUGUGCUAAGUUAUAGCAUUUUAUAGACAACUUGUUGACUAUGAUUUGUCUUGUAGCUUACUCGCUUAUGUUAUUUUACCUACGCUUAGGAUGUUGAAGUCAUCGUAUCGCGC
RNAcentral lists this ribosomal RNA (775 nucleotides) under uncultured Neocallimastigales. RNAcentral describes it as "partial large subunit ribosomal RNA". It matches the Rfam family "Eukaryotic large subunit ribosomal RNA", at positions 24 to 645 of the family's 3401-position model. The record is from RNAcentral. Lineage: Eukaryota; Fungi; Neocallimastigomycota; Neocallimastigomycetes; Neocallimastigales.